Long non-coding RNA from Neopsephotus bourkii (Bourke's parrot), 853 nucleotides. RefSeq lists it as uncharacterized. NCBI's taxonomy places the organism in Eukaryota, Metazoa, Chordata, Aves, Psittaciformes, Psittacidae. The record is from RefSeq and is a predicted model, not a curated record. The transcript has 2 exons.
GCUUACAGGGUACUUAGAGCAUGCGGCCCUCAUCCAGCAAAUGGAACAGUGCUCGAGGCAGUGAACUCGGCUGAGGACAGUGGGAUGCCUUGGAGUGACACCAGAUGUGAUGGGGUAUUUUACAGAACACUUCAGUGUCAGAUGUUGAAAAACAAAACCAGACCUUUAUGACCAUCUAGCCCCUUUCUUUCCUCCUCCUGCCCUUGAUAAUGAGGACCGGCGUGAUGGAGCCCACCAGAUACAGCCAUUUCCUCACUGGUGCUAGCUGGGAAGGAGCAAUUCCUGGAGAAAUGGCAGAACUAAAGAUCAGUGUUGUCUGGGCAGAGCAGCUGCUGUGCUCCAGAGCAGAGUGAAGGAGCAGGAAGGGCAGGGAGCGCUGACCAUGGGGUCACGUUGGCUCCAGGCGAGCUGGGAGGGGGAAGGACGUGGGUCCAGGAGAAAUUCGAGGGAAGAAGCAAGAGGCAGCAGGGAUUAAAGCUGUGGCUCAGCCAGGAUGAGCUCAGCACCCGGCCCCCUGCGCUCCCACCAGCACAGGGAUGCUCUGGAUACGCUGCAGAUGGAUUCUGGGUGGCUUGGGGGGUUCGGUGCCCAUGGGAUAAGAGGUCGGGGGGGGGGGGUCAUGCCCUGGUGCAGGGCCCUGGCUCCGCCUGACCCCGUGCUCUGUGCCCAUGGACACAGGGAGUGAGUGAGGAGCUGGAGCAGCGUGAGCGAACCCAAAUGUGUUUCCACUUAGCUGCUCCUCCGAGGCCAAAUGAUGUAACUCCACGGAGCCCUGCAGUAUGUUGGCAGGAGGAGCCCGGUGACAACUCCAACUGUAAGUUCCUGAGCUAAUGAGCAGGAAAGUUGAAUAAAA